CGUGUCAGAGGCGGGGCUGUGAGGGAGCCGAAGGACGGUUGCGCAGUUCGCGUGCCUACUGUGCCCGUUGCCCCCCCUCUUUCUCGGACCCACCCCUCUUGUUCCCCUAAUCCUUCAUCUUAGCCUGGCCACAACUGACCAAGGCCCAGUUGGACUGUGUCUUUGCCAACACCAUCGCUGUCGUCCCCGCGUGACAUCCCAGCUCUGAGUCGGGUCCUAGAAACCUGCUCUAGCUCUGCUCUCUGCCAGAUGAUCGUUUUGCUGUCUGAAUAAUUCUAAACCCCCUGUUUGAAUGUUUAGUUUCCACAUUUGAACAGGCCGAGAGCAAUGAUUUAGGGAUGGGGCGUCCUGGACCAUCUUGCAUCUCGUUGAGAACCAAGUCUCCAGUGGUUGGGGGUGUAUCUAUGGGCUGCGCCUCAGGCCAGGGUAGCCCUGGAAUACUCGACUUAAAUACUGGCCUAGGGGAAAAGGGCAACUGGGGAAGUUAGAUCUCUUCUUAGGCUCGCAGCCCAGCAAUUUUUUCUUUGAUCCCUGCAAAUGUUCCAGAGAUUCGGGUUGGGGAUUUAUUUCAUAAACUGGAAACAUUUAUUUCUUAACCAACAGGAUUAUUGUGGGGGGGCUUGAGGUGAACCCCCUGGGUUCGGGGAAGGGUGCCCUUUGCAAGAAUGUAAGACUGAAACUUAGCUUAAAAAGAGAAAUUUAUUAAUUUAGAAGGUAAUGUUGAAUCUGACCAGGAGUACAACAACCCCUCCCUCCCCUAAGCACAUCAAGUCUGGGCUCUUUAUAUUCUUUUCAACAGUUGAUACCUGAGUAAGCACUCAGGCACAGCAAAGGAAAGUGAGGUGGCCCAGUGAAGAGAGACAGUGAUCAAAACAGAUGGAAAGUGUGGAAGAUAGAGCCACUGCUCCUGAAGAAAAAGCUAGGGGUGGACUGCUACACCAAUGUUACCACACCACUUCCAGUGGAGCUCAAGCUACUGCCACUGAGGACUGCACAGUACCAGUUAACCUCCAACAGAGAGAUUACCCAAAGGCUCUUGAUGUCUUGGACUUGCAAGGCUGACAUCAAAACUGGGAAUGUCCAGAUCAGGAUUGCCCACCUAUAUUCAAGGAAAGCUACAAAGCAAAAACAAAAAGUCUGAACAAGGGCUUCUGGAAUUCCUACACUUAUCAGUUAUAUUGGGCAUAGUUUCCUAUAAUCCUGUUUAGAGUCUGAGUUACAUUUGGGUCCAGAACAGAUAAUAGGAGUCCAACCACCAUUAUUCAUGGGGUCACUAUUCAUUUUCCCCAUCACUCUCUGAUAUUAAACCUUACACCAGCUUAAUUUUGAGACAUGUCACUCCAAGCCACCAUCGAUGAAUACUUAGUAAAAUCACCUACUAAUGGUUCCUUUUAUACCAUGUUUGUGUUAGAGGUGGCAGGGUGUUGAUAUCUAGCAUACCUAUUAUUGUAUUUUUUUAAAUCAAUGUAUAAAGACCAAGGUCAAAGUGGAAUUAUAGCAAACCCCAAUCUUAAACCUAUAUUCCCUCUAUCUGAUAGUAGUAGAUGAUGGAACCCCUGUGUGUGGGAAAAAUCACUUUGCUUUUAAUAUAUACUGUUUUACUGAAUUCCCCCUCCAACUCCCUAUUCAGUUGCAAACCAAAUACACCAAAUCUGAUGGAAUUGCAUUCUCUUUUGUUGGUUGAAUUAAAAAAACACAAAAAACCUGAUUCAACCACCUUUAUCCUGCUUAAGUUAAAUAUACUAUUCCUGCUACACACAGCAGUCUUUAUCUGUCUUAGACCCACAAUUGUUGUAUCCACCACACAACUAAGUACUUUCCAGACAAGGUCAGUUUGUAUCCCAUGGGUACAUUUAAAUGCUGCAGAUAUUGCUGAUUAUGUACUUGAAGUAGGCCUAAAACAAGCUACAUAAGCUAUAUGUAUACCCUAGGAAGCUGAAGCUGCUAACAACAAAUGAGCAUUCCCAGCCUGCUAAUUUUUUCCUUUCAGUUUCAUUACUUUCUUUAUUUCCCUGGACCUACUAGUAGAUGAGAUUGUCCCUGAACUGAAGGUGAUAAAUUCUCAAACAUCUACAAAUAUGUCUUCAAACAGGGGUGUGAUAAGAGAAUUUCUGACAACUUUCUUAAUGCUAUUUUCUUAAGAUGAGCAGUCACUUGUUAGAGUUUGCAAAAUCAAACUUGAGAUAUCAACUAUAGGUCUGGUCAAUUGCCUGUUUUACUUGUUAUGCAUCUGCCAUCUGUUUCUUUUAUCUAUAAAUCAUUAUCAUCUCUUAUUUGUCCUUUGAAAUUCCAUUAUACCCAUCUUGCUUAUGUAACUAAAGUCUACAAAUAUAGUUUAGAACUGAUAUUCAGGGCUCACUAAGUUUUUGUUCAAUGAAGUCUGCACUCUGAGAAUAAUAAAAGUUUUCCCUCUA
Molecule: non-coding RNA, 2414 nt
Organism: Monodelphis domestica (gray short-tailed opossum)
Lineage: Eukaryota; Metazoa; Chordata; Mammalia; Didelphimorphia; Didelphidae
Source: RefSeq, a predicted model, not a curated record